Molecule: ribosomal RNA, 882 nt
Filed under: uncultured Candidatus Saccharibacteria bacterium
Lineage: Bacteria; Candidatus Saccharimonadota
Description: bacterial SSU rRNA
Rfam family: Bacterial small subunit ribosomal RNA
Source: RNAcentral
GUAGGCGGUCUUGUAAGCAGGGCAUGAAAUAGUGUGGCUCAACCAUACUGCUAUGUUCUGAACUGCAAAACUAGAGGAUGAGAGAGGUUAUUGGAAUUCCCAGUGUAGGAGUGAAAUCCGUAGAUAUUGGGAGGAACACCGAUGGCGUAGGCAGAUAACUGGCUCAUUCCUGACGCUCAGGCACGAAAGCGUGGGUAGCAAACGGGAUUAGAUACCCCGGUAGCCCACGCCGUAAACUAUGGAUGCUAGCUGUACACCGUAUCGACCCGGUGUGUAGCGAAGCUAACGCGUUAAGCAUCCCGCCUGUGGAGUACGAGAGCAAGCUUAAAACAUAAAGGAAUUGACGGGGACCCGCACAAGCGGUGGAGCGUGUUGUUUAAUUCGAUGGUAAGCGAAGAACCUUACCCAGGCUUGAAAUCCUGCGAAGCACUGCGAAAGCAGAGUGUGCCUUCGGGAGCGCAGUGACAGGUGGUGCAUGGCCGUCGUCAGCUCGUGUCGUGAGAUGUUGGGUUAAGUCCCGCAACGAGCGCAACCCUUGUGUCCAGUUGAAUUUUUCUGGACAGACUGCCCUGGUAACAGGGAGGAAGGAGGGGAUGAUGUCAGGUCAGUAUUACCCUUAUGCCUGGGGCUACAAACACGCUACAAUGGCCGGUACAAAGGGCAGCCAAGUCGCAAGACGGAGCAAAUCCCAUCAAAACCGGUCUCAGUUCGGAUAGCAGGCUGAAACUCGCCUGCUUGAAGCUGGAAUCGCUAGUAAUGGUAGGUCAGCACACUACCGUGAAUACGUUCCCGGGUCUUGUACACACCGCCCGUCAAACCAUGAAAGUGGCCAACACCCGAAGUCCGACUUGUCGGCCUAAGGUGGGGGACAUAAUUGGGGUU